CUGUCGGAUAUAUACUCCCCUCCCCUUUCUAUCAACUUUUGUUAGUGAUAUCAUAUCAUAUAAUAUAAUAUAAUAUCCUUUUUGACUUUGCUACCAACUACUAUGAAAGCCAUGUAUGUCAAUUUCCAUUAACUCUCAUCUCACAUACAUCCCAAUGAACAAUUUUCAUGGGUUCUCAUCCAACUUUGGAGAACAAUAUGCAACAGCCUCUGCAACUGUGAGGAAGAUCUUGUCCUCACCAACUACGUUUGCAAAAUUUGAAGUGUAAAGUUUGUCUGUCACUGCAGAACCAGGAUUUGCCAGAACUAGCUGCUCAAACCAAAAACACAUCUUGGAUCAAUCUCAUUACUAAGCAAAGUCCCCAACAAGAGAGAAACCACUGCCACAGGUCCUAUUGCAAUAUCGCGGGAACUACCCAUGAAUGCAUAAAUCAGUGGUGGAACAAAGCUGGAGUCUGUAAAAGGGUAGAUCAAAAUGUAACAAGAUUUCAGUUCAACAUCCAAAAAGCUAAAAAAGAAAAACAUCUUGGGGUUGGAGAUAAAAGUCUUACAUAGUCCAUACUGUGGAGCCAAAUGUGCAAGCUUGGAGUAUCCAAUAUCCUGUUUUUCAAGCGGAGUAUUAGAACAUCAAAUAUAGGUCAAGUAAUUUGAAUUAUAAUUGUGUUAUUGCUAUGCAAUGAAAUAUAAGUAAAAAAAUACAUGUUAUGAUGUAUCUGGUUCAAUACUCUUAUUUGGUCUUACACUAGAUACGUUUACUUUUUUGUUUAUAUUUCAUCUAGAGGGAGUGCUAUUUUAGGUGCUCUUUACAAUCUCAAAAUCAGCAUGAUAAAGCAAACUUUACCUGAGGUAUGCAAAGACUUGCAAUAGUGAGACCAGCUAUUAAAUCUCCUCUAAAUUUUUGAAGGAUCUUAGAGGAUCAUCAGCAAAGAAUGUUUCUUUUACAGUGUAUUGGAAUUCCUUGAAUAAGUUCUGUCUUGGAGGAAUUGCAACUUUGUGUGCGUAUGGUGCUU
Long non-coding RNA from Cicer arietinum (chickpea), 1009 nucleotides. RefSeq lists it as uncharacterized. The record is from RefSeq and is a predicted model, not a curated record. NCBI's taxonomy places the organism in Eukaryota, Viridiplantae, Streptophyta, Magnoliopsida, Fabales, Fabaceae.